CCUACGGGAGGCAGUAGUAGGGAAUCUUCCACAAUGGGCGAAAGCCUGAUGGAGCAACGCCGCGUGGGUGAAGAAGGUCUUCGGAUCGUAAAACUCUGUUGUUAGAGAAGAAAAAGCGUGAGAGUAACUGUUCACGUUUCGACGGUAUCUAACCAGAAAGCCACGGCUAACUACGUGCCAGCAGCCGCGGUAAUACGUAGGUGGCAAGCGUUAUCCGGAUUUAUUGGGCGUAAAGGGAACGCAGGCGGUCUUUUAAGUCUGAUGUGAAAGCCUUCGGCUUAACCGGGGUAGUGCAUUGGAAACUGGAAGACUUGAGUGCAGAAGAGGAGAGUGGAACUCCAUGUGUAGCGGUGAAAUGCGUAGAGAUAUGGAAGAACACCAGUGGCGAAAGCGACUCUCUGGUCUGUAACUGACGCUGAGGUUCGAAAGCGUGGGUAGCAAACAGGAUUAGAUACCCUAGUAGUC
Molecule: ribosomal RNA, 465 nt
Filed under: uncultured bacterium
Lineage: Bacteria
Description: partial 16S ribosomal RNA
Rfam family: Bacterial small subunit ribosomal RNA
Source: RNAcentral